AACAGGAGAGCGUUUCGCAGUUUAGCCGUAGAAUAGUCGCCACUCGAAGCGCGGAAGCCGGUGCAAGCCCGGCGCGGUCGCGCCACUGUAAUCGGCAGCAAAUGCGUACACAACAGGCUGUACACAAGCCGGAAGCCAGACCCAAGCUUCGACCUCUCUCAUCAU
Molecule: non-coding RNA, 165 nt
Filed under: Paraburkholderia caribensis
Lineage: Bacteria; Pseudomonadati; Pseudomonadota; Betaproteobacteria; Burkholderiales; Burkholderiaceae
Source: RNAcentral